GGCGAACGGGUGAGUAACACGUGGGUGAUCUGCCUUGCACUCUGGGAUAAGCUUGGGAAACUGGGUCUAAUACCGGAUAGGAACCGUCUUUAGUGUGGUGGUUGGAAAGUUUUUCGGUGCAAGAUGAGCUCGCGGCCUAUCAGCUUGUUGGUGGGGUGAUGGCCUACCAAGGCGACGACGGGUAGCCGGCCUGAGAGGGUGAUCGGCCACAUUGGGACUGAGAUACGGCCCAG
This 233-nucleotide ribosomal RNA is filed under the name uncultured Actinomycetales bacterium. Its description in RNAcentral is "partial 16S ribosomal RNA". It matches the Rfam family "Bacterial small subunit ribosomal RNA", at positions 97 to 334 of the family's 1533-position model. Lineage: Bacteria; Bacillati; Actinomycetota; Actinomycetes; Actinomycetales. The record is from RNAcentral.